UACAGAGGGUGCAAGCGUUAAUCGGAUUUACUGGGCGUAAAGCGUGAGUAGGUGGCUCGCUAAGUCGAUUGUGAAAGCCCUGGGCUCAACCUGGGAAUUGCAGUCGAUACUGGAGAGCUCGAGUUCGGUAGAGGGUGACGGAAUUCCCGGUGUAGCGGUGAAAUGCGUAGAUAUCGGGAGGAACAUCGAUGGCGAAGGCAAUCACCUGGGCCUGAACUGACACUGAGACACGAAAGCGUGGGUAGCAAACAGG
Molecule: ribosomal RNA, 253 nt
Filed under: uncultured bacterium
Lineage: Bacteria
Description: partial 16S ribosomal RNA
Rfam family: Bacterial small subunit ribosomal RNA
Source: RNAcentral